AGUGAACGCUGGCGGUAGGCCUAACACAUGCAAGUCGAACGGCAGCACAGUAAGAGCUUGCUCUUACGGGUGGCGAGUGGCGGACGGGUGAGGAAUACAUCGGAAUCUACUUUUUCGUGGGGGAUAACGUAGGGAAACUUACGCUAAUACCGCAUACGACCUACGGGUGAAGGCAGGGGAUCUUCGGACCUUGCGCGAUUGAAUGAGCCGAUGUCGGAUUAGCUAGUUGGCGGGGUAAAGGCCCACCAAGGCGACGAUCCGUAGCUGGUCUGAGAGGAUGAUCAGCCACACUGGAACCGAGACACGGUCCAGACUCCUACGGGAGGCAGCAGUGGGGAAUAUUGGACAAUGGGCGCAAGCCUGAUCCAGCCAUACCGCGUGGGUGAAGAAGGCCUUCGGGUUGUAAAGCCCUUUUGUUGGGAAAGAAAAGCAGCAGGUUAAUACCCCGCUGUUCUGACGGUACCCAAAGAAUAAGCACCGGCUAACUUCGUG
RNAcentral lists this ribosomal RNA (492 nucleotides) under uncultured bacterium. Its description in RNAcentral is "partial 16S ribosomal RNA". It matches the Rfam family "Bacterial small subunit ribosomal RNA", at positions 29 to 507 of the family's 1533-position model. The record is from RNAcentral.